RNAcentral lists this ribosomal RNA (302 nucleotides) under uncultured Thiobacillus sp. RNAcentral's name for it is "bacterial SSU rRNA". It matches the Rfam family "Bacterial small subunit ribosomal RNA", at positions 419 to 712 of the family's 1533-position model. The record is from RNAcentral. Lineage: Bacteria; Pseudomonadati; Pseudomonadota; Betaproteobacteria; Nitrosomonadales; Thiobacillaceae.
CGGGUUGUAAAGCUCUUUCGGCAGGAAAGAAAUCGCCAGUCUCUAAUACGGGUGGUGGAUGACGGUACCUGAAGAAGAAGCACCGGCUAACUACGUGCCAGCAGCCGCGGUAAUACGUAGGGUGCGAGCGUUAAUCGGAAUUACUGGGCGUAAAGCGUGCGCAGGCGGCUUUUUAAGCCAGAUGUGAAAUCCCCGGGCUUAACCUGGGAACUGCAUUUGGAACUGGAAGGCUAGAGUGCGGCAGAGGGGGGUAGAAUUCCGCGUGUAGCAGUGAAAUGCGUAGAGAUGUGGAGGAACCCCGA